RNAcentral lists this transfer RNA (77 nucleotides) under Ignavibacteria bacterium. RNAcentral's name for it is "tRNA-Met". It matches the Rfam family "tRNA". Rfam says of the family: Transfer RNA (tRNA) molecules are approximately 80 nucleotides in length. Their secondary structure includes four short double-helical elements and three loops (D, anti-codon, and T loops). The record is from RNAcentral. Lineage: Bacteria; Pseudomonadati; Ignavibacteriota; Ignavibacteria.
GCCGGGAUAGCUCAGCUGGUCAGAGCGUCGGAAUCAUAAUCCGCAGGUCGGGGGUUCAAGUCCCCCUCCCGGUACCA